Molecule: ribosomal RNA, 1134 nt
Filed under: Klebsiella pneumoniae
Lineage: Bacteria; Pseudomonadati; Pseudomonadota; Gammaproteobacteria; Enterobacterales; Enterobacteriaceae
Description: bacterial SSU rRNA
Rfam family: Bacterial small subunit ribosomal RNA
Source: RNAcentral
AAAUUGAAGAGUUUGAUCAUGGCUCAGAUUGAACGCUGGCGGCAGGCCUAACACAUGCAAGUCGAGCGGUAGCACAGAGAGCUUGCUCUCGGGUGACGAGCGGCGGACGGGUGAGUAAUGUCUGGGAAACUGCCUGAUGGAGGGGGAUAACUACUGGAAACGGUAGCUAAUACCGCAUAACGUCGCAAGACCAAAGUGGGGGACCUUCGGGCCUCAUGCCAUCAGAUGUGCCCAGAUGGGAUUAGCUAGUAGGUGGGGUAACGGCUCACCUAGGCGACGAUCCCUAGCUGGUCUGAGAGGAUGACCAGCCACACUGGAACUGAGACACGGUCCAGACUCCUACGGGAGGCAGCAGUGGGGAAUAUUGCACAAUGGGCGCAAGCCUGAUGCAGCCAUGCCGCGUGUGUGAAGAAGGCCUUCGGGUUGUAAAGCACUUUCAGCGGGGAGGAAGGCGUUAAGGUUAAUAACCUUGGCGAUUGACGUUACCCGCAGAAGAAGCACCGGCUAACUCCGUGCCAGCAGCCGCGGUAAUACGGAGGGUGCAAGCGUUAAUCGGAAUUACUGGGCGUAAAGCGCACGCAGGCGGUCUGUCAAGUCGGAUGUGAAAUCCCCGGGCUCAACCUGGGAACUGCAUUCGAAACUGGCAGGCUAGAGUCUUGUAGAGGGGGGUAGAAUUCCAGGUGUAGCGGUGAAAUGCGUAGAGAUCUGGAGGAAUACCGGUGGCGAAGGCGGCCCCCUGGACAAAGACUGACGCUCAGGUGCGAAAGCGUGGGGAGCAAACAGGAUUAGAUACCCUGGUAGUCCACGCCGUAAACGAUGUCGAUUUGGAGGUUGUGCCCUUGAGGCGUGGCUUCCGGAGCUAACGCGUUAAAUCGACCGCCUGGGGAGUACGGCCGCAAGGUUAAAACUCAAAUGAAUUGACGGGGGCCCGCACAAGCGGUGGAGCAUGUGGUUUAAUUCGAUGCAACGCGAAGAACCUUACCUGGUCUUGACAUCCACAGAACUUUCCAGAGAUGGAUUGGUGCCUUCGGGAACUGUGAGACAGGUGCUGCAUGGCUGUCGUCAGCUCGUGUUGUGAAAUGUUGGGUUAAGUCCCGCAACGAGCGCAACCCUUAUCCUUUGUUGCCAGCGGUC